Molecule: ribosomal RNA, 510 nt
Filed under: uncultured bacterium
Lineage: Bacteria
Description: partial 16S ribosomal RNA
Rfam family: Bacterial small subunit ribosomal RNA
Source: RNAcentral
GACGAACGCUGGCGGCGUGCUUAACACAUGCAAGUCGAACGAAGAGCGACGGAAGCUUGCUUCUAUCAAUCUUAGAGGAGAACGGGUGAGUAACGCGUAAUCAACCUGCCCUUCAGAGGGGGACAACAGUUGGAAACGACUGCUAAUACCGCAUACGAUCUAACCUCGGCAUCGAGGAUAGAUGAAAGGUGGCCUCUACAGGUAAGCUAUCACUGAAGGAGGGGAGUGCGUCUGUUACGGUAGUUGGAGGGGUAACGGCCCACCAAGGCGAUGAUCAGCCGCCCGUCGGAGAGGAGGAACGGCCCCCUUGGGGCUGAGACGUGGCUCAGACUCCUACAGAAAGCAGCACUAGCGACUCUUGCGCAAUUGAAGAAAGACUGUCGCAACAAGGCCGCGUGAUAGAGCACGGCCUUCGGGUUGUUAAGCUCUGUUAAUCGGGACGAAAGGUCUUCUUGCGAGAAGUAAGAACGAUUGACGGUACCUGCAGAGAAAGCCCCGGCUAACUACGUG